Rosa rugosa (rugosa rose) is the source of this 405-nucleotide long non-coding RNA. RefSeq lists it as uncharacterized. The record is from RefSeq and is a predicted model, not a curated record. The transcript is spliced from 4 exons. Lineage: Eukaryota; Viridiplantae; Streptophyta; Magnoliopsida; Rosales; Rosaceae.
ACCAUUUCUGACUCCGUGUCUCCGUCUCCGCCAAUUCUGAUUCUCUCCGUCCCCGACUCUCCGUCUCCGCCUCUCCGGUCUCCCGUCUCCGAGUCUCUGUCUCCAAGCUCCAGGCCCAGAUUGGAGCUACUUUCAUGGCCAGGCGGCCAGCAGAAUCUAGAUGACUAGAUUGGGAAAAUCGAUCCCAUUGAUUUGCUAUGAUGCUUCUUUGCUUCGGUCAAUCUCGACCAAACGAUCACCUCAAUGAAAAUUGAAAUCGCUUGGUGAUUGUAUUCAGAUAUUCUUCUUCUUCAAUUCAUCAAUUGCCCCACCGAUUCAGCGAUUGUCAUCACCAAUUGUCGAGAACUGCUGCUUCAUAUGUGUAAGGUUAGUGUCGAGAAGCCCUCAGAAGCAGAGGGCCACAAU